RNAcentral lists this transfer RNA (73 nucleotides) under Bos taurus (domestic cattle). It matches the Rfam family "tRNA". Rfam says of the family: Transfer RNA (tRNA) molecules are approximately 80 nucleotides in length. Lineage: Eukaryota; Metazoa; Chordata; Mammalia; Artiodactyla; Bovidae. RNAcentral also lists the same sequence under 2 other names. The record is from Rfam by way of RNAcentral.
UCCCUGAAGGUCCAAUGGGUAGGACUCCGCACUUUCACUGCUGAGAGUCCAGGUUCAAUUGCUGGCUGGGGAA